GAUGAACGCUAGCGACAGGCCUAACACAUGCAAGUCGAGGGGCAGCAUAAAGGUAGCAAUACUUUGGUGGCGACCGGCGCACGGGUGAGUAACACGUAUGCAACCUACCUGUAAGAGGGGAAUAACCCGGAGAAAUUCGGACUAAUACCGCAUAAUACUGAUUAUCUGCAUGGAUUGAUCAGUUAAACAUUUAUGGCUUACAGAUGGGCAUGCGUAUGAUUAGAUAGUUGGUAGGGUAACGGCCUACCAAGUCAACGAUCAUUAGGGGUUCUGAGAGGAAGGUCCCCCACACUGGUACUGAGACACGGACCAGACUCCUACGGGAGGCAGCAGUGAGGAAUAUUGGUCAAUGGGCGAGAGCCUGAACCAGCCAAGUCGCGUGAAGGAAGAAGGUUCUAUGGAUUGUAAACUUCUUUUGCCAGGGGAUAAAAAGUCCCUGCGGGAAAAUUGAAGGUACCUGGUGAAUAAGCCACGGCUAACUACGUGCCAGCAGCCGCGGUAAU
RNAcentral lists this ribosomal RNA (503 nucleotides) under uncultured bacterium. RNAcentral's name for it is "bacterial SSU rRNA". It matches the Rfam family "Bacterial small subunit ribosomal RNA", at positions 28 to 524 of the family's 1533-position model. The record is from RNAcentral.